ACCCAGCUGACGAGUCCCAAAAAGGACGAAACGCAUAUCUCGGAU
RNAcentral lists this non-coding RNA (45 nucleotides) under Schistosoma curassoni. Lineage: Eukaryota; Metazoa; Platyhelminthes; Trematoda; Strigeidida; Schistosomatidae. The record is from RNAcentral.